GACAGAGGUGCCAAGCGUUAGGCGGAAUCACUGGGCUUAAAGCGUGUGUAGGCGGAUCGUUAAGUACCUUGUGAAAUCCCCGGGCUCAACCUGGGAACUGCAUUUGUGACUGCAUCGCUGGAGUACGGCAGAGGGGGAUGGAAUUCCGCGUGUAGCAGUGAAAUGCGUAGAUAUGCGGAGGAACACCGAUGGCGAAGGCAAUCCCCUGGGCCUGUACUGACGCUCAUGCACGAAAGCGUGGGGAGCAAACAGG
RNAcentral lists this ribosomal RNA (253 nucleotides) under uncultured bacterium. Its description in RNAcentral is "partial 16S ribosomal RNA". It matches the Rfam family "Bacterial small subunit ribosomal RNA", at positions 524 to 776 of the family's 1533-position model. The record is from RNAcentral.